GGGCUCGUAGCUCAGUCUGGAUAGAGUGCCGGCCUCCUAAGCCGCUGGUCGCGGGUUCGAAUCCCGCCGGGCCCGCCA
RNAcentral lists this transfer RNA (78 nucleotides) under Hadesarchaea archaeon. RNAcentral's name for it is "tRNA-Arg". It matches the Rfam family "tRNA". From Rfam's summary of the family: Transfer RNA (tRNA) molecules are approximately 80 nucleotides in length. Their secondary structure includes four short double-helical elements and three loops (D, anti-codon, and T loops). Lineage: Archaea; Methanobacteriati; Hadarchaeota (SeqCode); Hadarchaeia (SeqCode). The record is from RNAcentral.